CCAGCAAGAGGAGCUUUCCCGGCUUACUCGGCUGGGAAGGCCGAGUUUCUGGAGCCGUAGAAGAGGAUUCUCAAAGAUAAUGAGGACAGAAAGCAGUUGGUAUUCCACAUGACAGUCGUGCCGCUAUUGUACCACUGGAGACAUCUUGCUCGGAGAUUCUGCUGUGUAGCGGUCAGCAUUCACACUCAGCUAAGAGGGACAGCUGGAAACAACAAACAUUGUCACAUCUUCUUCAAUGGAUCCACUUCUGAUCUUUGAAAAUCCUUUGAAAAGCCUCCAGUGAAAAUGCAAACUUCCCAGCUAAGUGAAGAGGGAGAUGUUGUCAUUUCUAACACUGAGACAAGAGGGAGAUGAUUCAAACCCAAGUAAAGAGUCAAAAUU
Molecule: long non-coding RNA, 381 nt
Filed under: Rattus norvegicus (Norway rat)
Lineage: Eukaryota; Metazoa; Chordata; Mammalia; Rodentia; Muridae
Description: long non-coding RNA NONRATT025713
Source: RNAcentral